CACCAGUUGUGGGCAGAGAGAUCGUUAUAUUCGGAGACACCUGUAAUAGUGACCAAAUACUAGGUUUGACCAUUUCUCCAGAUAUAUUUAUCCACGAAGCAACUAUGGAGAAUAAGUUAAAGGAGAAAUGUGUAGAAGUUGGACACUCAACCCCUGACAUGGCCGCCGAUAUUGCUCUAAGAGCAAGAGCAAAUCUACUUGU
Eurytemora carolleeae is the source of this 202-nucleotide long non-coding RNA. RefSeq lists it as uncharacterized. The transcript is spliced from 3 exons. The record is from RefSeq and is a predicted model, not a curated record. NCBI's taxonomy places the organism in Eukaryota, Metazoa, Arthropoda, Copepoda, Calanoida, Temoridae.